This is a long non-coding RNA of Poecilia latipinna (sailfin molly), 1737 nucleotides long. RefSeq lists it as uncharacterized. Lineage: Eukaryota; Metazoa; Chordata; Actinopteri; Cyprinodontiformes; Poeciliidae. The record is from RefSeq and is a predicted model, not a curated record. The transcript has 7 exons.
GUUUGCUGACGACAUGGCAGCGAAUUCAAAAGUACGAAGGCGUGUAACCAUGGCAACAGGUGUUUUAAAGUCAGGCUAGCUCUUUCUGCCGUCAGUUUGCUCGCUCAUCCGCCAUGUUUACAAACAAAUAGUCUUUUCAUAGGAAGAUCAAGUUUAUAUUGUAUGCUAAAGGUGUAACUGGUGUCUUUAGCUAGCCCGUUUUCUUCCUCUCCAUGCACCUUGAAGCAGACCAAGUUGCACCGGAGUCUGUACUGUCAUCAUCUGCAGGACUCCGGUACCUGAUCGUAGCCCUGACCCUGAGACCUCUGACCCCACCUGCCAGGUCAUUCUCAUGCCACCUUAACCUGCUGAAACCAGAGAGCGCUGCGGGGGAGAGGAAGUGAGCCUGCAUCAAACGGUUAAAUCCAGACGCAUCUACAGAUCCUGGAAACGAGCCGUCCACCAACCAGUUGCUGGUGAGACAACAGGGGAGGCCCCCAGCCGUGACCAACACAUGGUGCGCCAACACACACGCCAGGACCCAUCUGAUUUUACAAAAAGUGUUGAACAGCGGCGGUCCCUGCAGCCCUGCCUACCUGACCAGGAAAGUUCCUCGUGAUGAAGUGGUGAUUGGUCCAAUCCCAUUUCUCAACCAAUGACGUCUGGAGCUGAGCAUUAGCCCCGCCCACGACUCUCCACUGAUCAGCAGAUCAAGUGACCGUUAUAAAACGCAGAGAUGAGCAUCCAGGAAAUCUCCCCCAGGAAAACAGGCAGUCAGACAACUGGGCCCAACAAGGAGCCAGGAGGCCCCGGAGCAACAGCUGGCAGGUAGGAAGAGAGGGAGGGAGAGAAGGAAGGAGAGAGGAAAAGAGGGGCGGCGUACAGACGACAGGCUGAAGAAAGGUAAGAGGGAAGGACACGAACUGCAGCACGGAAACUUUUUAACAUGUUGACUGCAGGUUCAGCUUCUAAUAUUUCAGAUCUAAGAGAAAGACUGAGGAUGAUAAAAGACUGAUAACAUGUGAUGCUAAUGUUGAGUCCAUGAAAAGACAGAUAAGAGAUUAUCAAAGGUACAUUUAUGCAUAAAAUGAUAAUUUGGCACACAUGAAACUCUCGGUCCAUUUUUCCCUGCUGAGUCUCUCUUUCUCUCUCUCUCAGACACACACACACACACACACACACACACACACACACACACAGUAGGUCUCGGUUAACCAAAGUCAAUAGCCUGCAGACAGACAAGUGUGAUUACAGGAGAUACUAUUGCUCUCACUAUUUAGCAGCUUCACUUUCUGUGUGUGAGGGGAAAAUGAAGGGUGUUAAAAAGAGACGACAGAAAAGGCCAGAGGUUUCAUCUCGAAUCGUCUCUUCGCAUAACUGACAUGCGGCGCUCUUUGAAUCACUUUUUUAUCAGUUUUUGGUUUUUAAAUGUCUCCCUCUAUUAAUCUGCAUUUUGAUUCAUGAUAUCGAUUCAUUUUUAUAUUCAGCUACAAAAAAGAAAAAGCAGAUUAAACUUGCAUCUUAUUUUGGCUUCAGUAGUAAGUUGAGGUUUUACUUUCCAUUCCGCACAACUUCAUUCCCUUAAUAUUAUGACUUUCUGUAGUUUUGACUUUUUCUCUCAUAAUUUUUACUUUUUUAUUUUCUUAUAAUCCAUUGUAGAAAACCAACCUUUACUGCUCUGAUAUUUAGGAAGAUGAAGCGACUUAAGCAGAGUUGUGGUAACUGGUUAUAUUUACUCAGUUACAUUUGCUUCAGUAA